Molecule: non-coding RNA, 864 nt
Organism: Manis javanica (Malayan pangolin)
Lineage: Eukaryota; Metazoa; Chordata; Mammalia; Pholidota; Manidae
Source: the annotation of a RefSeq genome assembly
ACAUGUUCUGUUGAACUUUGAUGGUCUCAUCUCUGAAAUGAGAAGGAAACACAGCUCUCGUGGUUCGCUGGUCCUGUGUCUAGCCUCCAGAGGGCGGUGUUGCAUGGUGGAGCCAUAGGUUUUGUUGCAGCUCACAUCCCCUCAGCCCCUCCUCAUCUGCAGCGGGCUGACUCUGUCCUCACUGAUGUCUGUGUAGACAGGAAACUGAUGAGAAUAAGAGCUCAGAAAAGAUCCAAACUCACUAAAAGAAAGACACUUUUGAACAGUUUUGAAACUUGUGAACGCAAGGGACUUGCUCAGCCUAACGUCCCCACUCCUCAUCAAGCUCCGAAGGCUCGGCGCCCUGCCAACCAUCCACCUGCUCGGGAGCCUGCCGCGUUCCCGUGCUCAGCCAUGCUCCUGCAGCUCAUCCCAGUGCUUCACGUGGCUUUUACCCUGAGAGGAACCAGAGCCCAGUCAGUGACCCAGCCUAAUGGCCACAUCACCGUCUCUGAAAGAGACCGUCUGGAGCUGAGAUGUAACUACUCGUCUUCUGUUCCCCCGUAUCUCUUCUGGUACGUGCAAUACCCCAACCAAGGACUCCAGCUUCUCCUGAAGUACACGUCUGGAAACAACCUUGUUCCAGGCAUCAAAGGUUUUGAGGCCGAAUUUAAGAAGAGUGAAACCUCCUUCCACCUGAAGAAACCCUCAGCCCAUUGGAGCGACUCAGCCCAGUACUUCUGUUCUCUGAGUGACACAGUGCCUGGAACUGCAGGGGGAGCUGCACGCAAACCUCCCGAGACACUGGGGACUUUUUGUGACUCAAGAACUCAAGAGAGAAUUUUCAAGAAGGUCUCUUUUUUUGUCAGAACUGGAGUUCGAUAA